AGGAACUAGAAUGCACUUCAGUGCAACUCAUCUUAGUCUACAACAUGUCUCCAUGCAGUUCCUUGCAAUAUAUACAUAGAAAUUGCAAAAAGGCCUGUAGAGUUUGAGCUACAGACUCUACAGGCCUCAGCUGAAUGUUGCCUCAUGUUAAAUGUUAAAGCUGUUGACAGUACAAUGAGAAAAAGACUGGACAAGUAUGGCCUGUUUGGAAGGGUUGCCUGGAGAAAGAAAUCCUCUCUGAGCAUUGCAGCACGGGUUGCAAGCUCGCAUCUAAACAAACCACAAAACUUCUAGAACAAUGUCCUUUGGACAGAUAAGAUGUUUGGUUUUCUCCAAAUGUGGUGCUGUGCAUCAUGGCCAAAGACAGCAUAUCAAGACAAAUACGUCACAGUAAGCAUAGUGGUGGAGGGAUGAUGAUUUGGGAUUGUUUCACAGCCAAAAGGACCUGGGCAUCCUCUUCUGUACACCACAGUGUUCUAAAGUCAAACAUGAGGCCGUCUUUCUACUGGAUCAUCACUCAGUUUUUUCACACACUUCUGCAUUUUGUCUCAGUUUUUGUUGUUCUUUUUUCUUUUUAUUCUUUGUUUUUUUUUUUUUUAAAGAAUAAGCAGGACAUUAUUUUUUUUAUUUCAGAAGGGUUCCAUAUUAGUGACAACAAGAACUUUAGCUCACCUCUCACUUGCCAGAGCCUCAUUCUUGACCCUAGCUCCUGCCUUACCCCCAACAUCUCCAUCCACAUUCGCAGGGCUGACAGAAACAACAUCAACCUUAUAUUUCAGCAAUACAGGGGACAAAUGAUAAACAUGUAAACGGGAGAGAAAAGGUCAAAAGGGAGAAGCUUUUGUUUUAGUGUGGAUGUGUUUAUGUGUGUGUGGCUUCACGGUGAAAGUGGCAUGUUCCAUUACCCGACCAUGAUUUAGCUUACUCUGAGGUAAUAGUCAGUCCUGGAGGGGUCAGCAGAGGGCCAGUGUGGGAGAGGAGGGCAUGUAGGGAGAGAAACGAGAGGUAAACAACAGAAUAAGAACUGGCUUGAAAAUUGAGCUUAGCAAGAAAAAACAGAUGAAAAGAGCAAGACAUGAAGAAAGAAAGAAAAUGAAAAAACUGGGCAUUCUUCACAAAGUGCCGUUGUUGAUGGACAUUUUGGCAUAUUGGCAGGAGUGGUGCGGUUUGGGUUGGAUGUGUGUGUUUUGGGCAGGCAUUUGCUUUUGUGACAACGACAGGCCAGGCUGGCUGAGCCGUCACUCCAGAAGCCUUAGCAGCACACAGCCACCUGUCCACUCCUAUCAGCGCUGCCUGUGUCCC
Astatotilapia calliptera (eastern happy) is the source of this 1302-nucleotide long non-coding RNA. Lineage: Eukaryota; Metazoa; Chordata; Actinopteri; Cichliformes; Cichlidae. The record is from Ensembl.